This 429-nucleotide ribosomal RNA is filed under the name Chloroflexota bacterium. RNAcentral describes it as "Chloroflexi bacterium partial 16S ribosomal RNA". It matches the Rfam family "Bacterial small subunit ribosomal RNA", at positions 355 to 776 of the family's 1533-position model. Lineage: Bacteria; Bacillati; Chloroflexota. The record is from RNAcentral.
UGGGGAAUAUUGCACAAUGGGCGCAAGCCUGAUGCAGCCAUGCCGCGUGUGUGAAGAAGGCCUUCGGGUUGUAAAGCACUUUCAGCGGGGAGGAAGGCGGUGAGGUUAAUAACCUCAUCGAUUGACGUUACCCGCAGAAGAAGCACCGGCUAACUCCGUGACAGCCGCCGCGGUAAUACGGAGGGUGCAAGCGUUAAACGGAAUUACUGGGCGUAAAGCGCACGCCGGCGGUCUGUCAAGUCGGAUGUGAAAUCCCCGGGCUCAACCUGGGAACUGCAUUCGAAACUGGAAGGCAGGAGUCUUGUAGAGGGGGGUAGAAUUCCAUGUGUGGCGGUGAAAUGCGUAGAAAUGUGGAGGAAUACCGGUGGCGAAGGCGGCCCCCUGGACAAAGACUGACGCUAAGGAGCGAAAGGGUGGGGAGCAAACAGG